AGAGCGAACGCUGGCGGCAGGCCUAACACAUGCAAGUCGAACGGAUCCUUCGGGAUUAGUGGCGGACGGGUGAGUAACACGUGGGAACGUGCCUUUUGGUUCGGAACAACUCAGGGAAACUUGAGCUAAUACCGGAUGUGCCCUUCGGGGGAAAGAUUUAUCGCCAUUAGAGCGGCCCGCGUCUGAUUAGCUUGUUGGUGAGGUAAAGGCUCACCAAGGCUACGAUCAGUAGCUGGUCUGAGAGGAUGAUCAGCCACACUGGGACUGAGACACGGCCCAGACUCCUACGGGAGGCAGCAGUGGGGAAUCUUGCGCAAUGGGCGAAAGCCUGACGCAGCCAUGCCGCGUGAAUGAUGAAGGUCUUAGGAUUGUAAAAUUCUUUCACCGGGACGAUAAUGACGUACCGGAGAAGAAGCUCCGCUAACUUCGUGCCAGCAGCC
This 440-nucleotide ribosomal RNA is filed under the name uncultured soil bacterium. RNAcentral describes it as "bacterial SSU rRNA". It matches the Rfam family "Bacterial small subunit ribosomal RNA", at positions 26 to 516 of the family's 1533-position model. The record is from RNAcentral.